Molecule: ribosomal RNA, 834 nt
Filed under: uncultured Alphaproteobacteria bacterium
Lineage: Bacteria; Pseudomonadati; Pseudomonadota; Alphaproteobacteria
Description: bacterial SSU rRNA
Rfam family: Bacterial small subunit ribosomal RNA
Source: RNAcentral
GUUUGAUCCUGGCUCAGAGCGAACGCUGGCGGCAUGCUUAACACAUGCAAGUCGCACGGUCAGGUUUCGGCCUGGUAGUGGCGGACGGGUGAGUAACGCGUAGGUAUCUAUCCGAAGGUGGGGGAUAACGGCGGGAAACUGCUGCUAAUACCGCAUAUGACCUGAGGGUCAAAGGUCGCAAGACCGCCUGUGGAGGAGCCUGCGUACGAUUAGCUUGUUGGUGGGGUAAAGGCCUACCAAGGCGACGAUCGUUAGCUGGUCUGAGAGGAUGAUCAGCCACAUUGGGACUGAGACACGGCCCAAACUCCUACGGGAGGCAGCAGUGGGGAAUAUUGGACAAUGGGGGCAACCCUGAUCCAGCAAUGCCGCGUGUGUGAAGAAGGUCUUCGGAUUGUAAAGCACUUUCGACGGGGACGAUGAUGACGGUACCCGUAUAAGAAGCCCCGGCUAACUUCGUGCCAGCAGCCGCGGUAAUACGAAGGGGGCUAGCGUUGCUCGGAAUGACUGGGCGUAAAGGGCGCGUAGGCGGCAUAUACAGUCAGACGUGAAAUUCCUGGGCUCAACCUGGGGGCUGCGUUUGAUACGUAUGGGCUAGAGUGGGGAAGAGGGUUGUGGAAUUCCCAGUGUAGAGGUGAAAUUCGUAGAUAUUGGGAAGAACACCGGUGGCGAAGGCGGCAACCUGGUCCUUGACUGACGCUGAGGCGCGAAAGCGUGGGGAGCAAACAGGAUUAGAUACCCUGGUAGUCCACGCCGUAUACGAUGUGUGCUGGAUGUUGGGCGACCUAUUCGCUCAGUGUCGUAGCUAACGCGAUAAGCACCCCGCCUGGGGAGUAC